RNAcentral lists this ribosomal RNA (442 nucleotides) under uncultured bacterium. RNAcentral describes it as "partial 16S ribosomal RNA". It matches the Rfam family "Bacterial small subunit ribosomal RNA", at positions 338 to 795 of the family's 1533-position model. The record is from RNAcentral.
CCUACGGGGCGCAGCAGUGGGGAAUAUUGGGCAAUGGGCGCAAGCCUGACCCAGCAAUGCCGCGUGAAGGAAGAAGGCUUUCGGGUUGUAAACUUCUUUGACAGGGGAAGAGCAGAAGACGGUACCCUGAAAACAAGCCACGGCUAACUACGUGCCAGCAGCCGCGGUAAUACGUAGGUGGCAAGCGUUGUCCGGAUUUACUGGGUGUAAAGGGCGUUUAGCCGGGAAGGCAAGUCAGAUGUGAAAUCUGGAGGCUCAACCUCCAAAUUGCAUUUGAAACUGUUUUUCUUGAGUACUGGAGAGGCAGACGGAAUUCCUUGUGUAGCGGUGAAAUGCGUAGAUAUAAGGAGGAACACCAGUGGCGAAGGCGGUCUGCUGGACAGCAACUGACGGUGAGGCGCGAAAGCGUGGGGAGCAAACAGGAUUAGAUACCCCAGUAGUC